RNAcentral lists this ribosomal RNA (567 nucleotides) under Escherichia coli. RNAcentral's name for it is "partial 23S ribosomal RNA". It matches the Rfam family "Bacterial large subunit ribosomal RNA", at positions 365 to 934 of the family's 2925-position model. Lineage: Bacteria; Pseudomonadati; Pseudomonadota; Gammaproteobacteria; Enterobacterales; Enterobacteriaceae. The record is from RNAcentral.
UGACAGCCCCGUACACAAAAAUGCACAUGCUGUGAGCUCGAUGAGUAGGGCGGGACACGUGGUAUCCUGUCUGAAUAUGGGGGGACCAUCCUCCAAGGCUAAAUACUCCUGACUGACCGAUAGUGAACCAGUACCGUGAGGGAAAGGCGAAAAGAACCCCGGCGAGGGGAGUGAAAAAGAACCUGAAACCGUGUACGUACAAGCAGUGGGAGCACAGAGCAAUCUGUGUGACUGCGUACCUUUUGUAUAAUGGGUCAGCGACUUAUAUUCUGUAGCAAGGUUAACCGAAUAGGGGAGCCGAAGGGAAACCGAGUCUUAACUGGGCGUUAAGUUGCAGGGUAUAGACCCGAAACCCGGUGAUCUAGCCAUGGGCAGGUUGAAGGUUGGGUAACACUAACUGGAGGACCGAACCGACUAAUGUUGAAAAAUUAGCGGAUGACUUGUGGCUGGGGGUGAAAGGCCAAUCAAACCGGGAGAUAGCUGGUUCUCCCCGAAAGCUAUUUAGGUAGCGCCUCGUGAAUUCAUCUCCGGGGGUAGAGCACUGUUUCGGCAAGGGGGUCAUCCCGA